Molecule: long non-coding RNA, 1692 nt
Organism: Daphnia magna
Lineage: Eukaryota; Metazoa; Arthropoda; Branchiopoda; Diplostraca; Daphniidae
Exons: 3
Source: RefSeq, a predicted model, not a curated record
AUACAGCUCAAACCUAAUAUUACUCUUUGUCUUAUCUUGAAUUUCGUUUGGUUUUUUUAUAGUUGGUUCCCAUAUUGUAAAACCCAAGACGACCUCAAGUAGUUGUUUUUAUUUUGGUAAGUAGUCGCUUCAGCAGCGGCUGUUGGGUAGACAUGCUUGUUCGAUUGUUCCUGCCGGUGGAGACGCUCCUAGGGCUCAGCCCCCGCCAAUCGGUUGGCUUUUUGGCCGAUCGGUUAGGUCGUUCCGGUUUUCGGUGCGGUUCUAUCGGGUUUCGGGGGGCCAUUUUUCUUGCCCAUGGGCAUUUGGGUCAGCUUUGGGGUCAAACCGGUGCAAGGGAAAGAAGCCAAUCGGUUCCAAGAACCCAGUUCCGUACCCCAAUUACAUCGCUUUAUGGCCCGAUUACCCGACUUUUACCCCGAUUCUUACAAAGAAAUUAGAUUAAAAUUCAAAAUUCGGGUAAUUCAUUGAUUUUUUUUUUAAAUUUCGCGCCUUUUAUCUGAAACUCACAAUUGACCGAUGACUUUGAACUAAUUUUGAUAAGAAGAAGAAUUCGCCACCCAGUUGCUCAAUUACUCACCAAAAACCAUCACUGAUUUGGUCCUCAGGACACUGGAUUAAUCUGUUACAGAGUUUAUGGAUGUGAUGGAAAAAUCAUUGUUGGAAAGCUCCGUCUUUGAAGAUAUUUAAAAAAAAAAAUAUCUCGAAAGGGGUAGAUCUUCUAAGAUCAAGAUUUUUGAAAAAAAUAUUACCUAUCUGCAGCAAGCUUGAAGUAUGCAUUAUUUUCCAAUUUUCAAGAGAAAUCAUCAUCUUAAAACACACAAAAAAAAACAUGAAAUAAUUGAACACCACAACUUCAGUACUCAUGUAUACAUCCAUUGUUUGUUUGUAAACUUCAAACAGAGGUUUAUGUCUGAGGUGAUUUUUAACUUUCCUGACCAUGUACUCUUACAGAUGCAGCACAAACAACCAAACAUAGUGAAAAAGAGCACAAGAAGAUUCUCAAAGAAAUAGGGAGCAUCAAGAAUAAAUGGAAAUAAUAUAUCCAUUUAUCCAUCAAUGGAUCCAAAUGAAAAAGUAGUUUUUAGAGGAAAAUUAAAAGAAACAACUGAGACUCACGAAAAUCUUAAAGCUGUGGCCUUUGAAAUUGAAACUACUUCCCAAAAGAUUUUACGGGAAAACAAAACCAAGAGUUUCAAAGAAAAUUCAUUUUUAUCCUUCUUCCUUCUAAAUUUUGCGAGGUGUAGAGCUCAGCUAAAGGAUGUGCAAGAAUCGGCACCUCCGCCAUUGACGAAGGACAAAGAUAAACUCUACCGCCAAAAAGAAAAUGACCUUUUCAAAUAAAAUUAAUAUCCGUUCAGACUACUUUUCGUGUCGUGUGGGAAAUUAUAUCUCAAUCAAUUAUCGAUCUCCUAUUUUUAAUUGGUAUUUGUCACAUGGUCUUCGUUUGCAGGAAUUGGGCAUAUUUGCCAUUGCCACAAUUAUUUGCCAGUGGAUUUGCAAAUGUCCAAGAAAAUGUUUUGAAAUCCACAAUUGUUUUCUUUUUAAGGAGAGAAAAAUUAAAUGAAACACAUAUCAGUUAAAAAUAGUCUCCAGUAUCUUAGCGCAAUUUGUGGACCCAAGAAAUAGUUUACGUUACGGGCGACGCACAAGGCGCAACGAUCUAUUGGGUAUCCAGUCUAAACAUGAAGCCGU